GGCAACUUGGCCGAGCGGUUAAGGCGCUAGUUUCAGGUCAUCAUGUGACUACUAGUUCGAAAGAGCGAGAGUUCGAAUCUCUCAGUUGUCA
Molecule: transfer RNA, 91 nt
Organism: Pseudogymnoascus sp. 23342-1-I1
Lineage: Eukaryota; Fungi; Ascomycota; Leotiomycetes; Thelebolales; Thelebolaceae
Rfam family: tRNA
About the family: Transfer RNA (tRNA) molecules are approximately 80 nucleotides in length.
Source: Rfam